CCUACGGGUGACAGCAGUGAGGAAUAUUGGUCAAUGGACGAGACUCUGAACCAGCCAAGUAGCGUGAAGGAUGACUGCCCUAUGGGUUGUAAACUUCUUUUAUAUGGGAAUAAAAUGUUCCACGUGUGGGAUUUAGUAUGUACCAUAUGAAUAAGGAUCGGCUAACUCCGUGCCAGCAGCCGCGGUAAUACGGAGGAUCCGAGCGUUAUCCGGAUUUAUUGGGUCUAAAGGGAGCGUAGGUGGAUUGUUAAGUCAGUGGUGAAAGUUUGUGGCUCAACCGUAAAAUUGCAGUUGAAACUGGCAGUCUUGAGUACAGUAGGGGUGGGCGGAAUUCGCGGUGUAGCGGUGAAAUGCUUAGAUAUCACGAAGAACUCCGAUUGCGAAGGCAGUUCACUGGACUGCAACUGACACUGAGGCUCGAAAGUGUGGGGAUCAAACAGGAUUAGAUACCCCAGUAGUC
This 460-nucleotide ribosomal RNA is filed under the name uncultured bacterium. Its description in RNAcentral is "partial 16S ribosomal RNA". It matches the Rfam family "Bacterial small subunit ribosomal RNA", at positions 338 to 795 of the family's 1533-position model. The record is from RNAcentral.